GACGAACGUUGGCGGCGUGCUUAACACAUGCAAGUCGAACGGAAAGGCCCUGCUUUUGUGGGGUGCUCGAGUGGCGAACGGGUGAGUAACACGUGAGUAACCUGCCCUUGACUUUGGGAUAACUUCAGGAAACUGGGGCUAAUACCGGAUAGGAGCUCCUGCUGCAUGGUGGGGGUUGGAAAGUUUCGGCGGUUGGGGAUGGACUCGCGGCUUAUCAGCUUGUUGGUGGGGUAGUGGCUUACCAAGGCUUUGACGGGUAGCCGGCCUGAGAGGGUGACCGGCCACAUUGGGACUGAGAUACGGCCCAGACUCCUACGGGAGGCAGCAGUGGGGAAUAUUGCACAAUGGGCGGAAGCCUGAUGCAGCAACGCCGCGUGCGGGAUGACGGCCUUCGGGUUGUAAACCGCUUUCGCCUGUGACGAAGCGUGAGUGACGGUAAUGGGUAAAGAAGCACCGGCUAACUACGUGCCAGCAGCCGCGGUGAUACGUAGGGUGCGAGCGUUGUCCGGAUUUAUUGGGCGUAAAGGGCUCGUAGGUGGUUGAUCGCGUCGGAAGUGUAAUCUUGGGGCUUAACCCUGAGCGUGCUUUCGAUACGGGUUGACUUGAGGAAGGUAGGGGAGAAUGGAAUUCCUGGUGGAGCGGUGGAAUGCGCAGAUAUCAGGAGGAACACCAGUGGCGAAGGCGGUUCUCUGGGCCUUUCCUGACGCUGAGGAGCGAAAGCGUGGGGAGCGAACAGGCUUAGAUACCCUGGUAGUCCACGCUGUAAACGGUGGGUACUAGGUGUGGGGUCCAUUCCACGGGUUCCGUGCCGUAGCUAACGCUUUAAGUACCCCGCCUGGGGAGUACGGCCGCAAGGCUAAAACUCAAAGGAAUUGACGGGGCCCCGCACAAGCGGCGGAGCAUGCGGAUUAAUUCGAUGCAACGCGUAGAACCUUACCUGGGUUUGACAUGGAUCGGGAGUGCUCAGAGAUGGGUGUGCCUCUUUUGGGGUCGGUUCACAGGUGGUGCAUGCCUGUCGUCAGCUCGUGUCGUGAGAUGUUGGGUUAAGUCCCGCAACGAGCGCAACCCUUGUUCACUGUUGCCAGCACGUUAUGGUGGGGACUCAGUGGAGACCGCCGGGGUCAACUCGGAGGAAGGUGGGGAUGACGUCAAGUCCUCAUGCCCCUUAUGUCCAGGGCUUCACGCAUGCUACAAUGGCUGGUACAGAGAGUGGCGAGCCUGUGAGGGUGAGCGAAUCUCGGAAAGCCGGUCUCAGUUCGGAUUGGGGUCUGCAACUCGACCUCAUGAAGUCGGAGUCGCUAGUAAUCGCAAAUCAGCAACGCUGCGGUGAAUACGUUCCCGGGGC
Molecule: ribosomal RNA, 1345 nt
Filed under: uncultured bacterium
Lineage: Bacteria
Description: bacterial SSU rRNA
Rfam family: Bacterial small subunit ribosomal RNA
Source: RNAcentral